RNAcentral lists this ribosomal RNA (377 nucleotides) under uncultured bacterium. RNAcentral's name for it is "bacterial SSU rRNA". It matches the Rfam family "Bacterial small subunit ribosomal RNA", at positions 523 to 898 of the family's 1533-position model. The record is from RNAcentral.
AUACGUAGGGAGCGAGCGUUGUCCGGAAUUACUGGGCGUAAAGGGUGCGUAGGCGGCCAAAUAAGUCAGAUGUGAAAUACCAUGGCUCAACUGUGGGGGUGCAUUUGAAACUGUAUGGCUUGAGUGCAGGAGAGGAAAGUGGAAUUCCUAGUGUAGCGGUGAAAUGCGUAGAGAUUAGGAGGAACACCAGUGGCGAAGGCGGCUUUCUGGACUGUAACUGACGCUGAGGCACGAAAGCGUGGGUAGCGAACAGGAUUAGAUACCCUGGUAGUCCACGCCGUAAACGAUGGAUACUAGGUGUAGGGGGUAUCGACCCCCCCUGUGCCGGAGUUAACGCAAUAAGUAUCCCGCCUGGGGAGUACGUGCGCAAGCAUGAA